AAACGCUUGAAGUCAGUCGCGUUGGCCAGGGAUCAACCUUGCUUUUUUUUGCUUGGCUUAUUUCCUGGUCAAUGGGUCAGCAUCAAUUUUGACUGAUGGAAAAAG
This 105-nucleotide ribosomal RNA is filed under the name Laccaria sp. RNAcentral's name for it is "partial large subunit ribosomal RNA". The record is from RNAcentral. Lineage: Eukaryota; Fungi; Basidiomycota; Agaricomycetes; Agaricales; Hydnangiaceae.